RNAcentral lists this ribosomal RNA (433 nucleotides) under uncultured bacterium. Its description in RNAcentral is "partial 16S ribosomal RNA". It matches the Rfam family "Bacterial small subunit ribosomal RNA", at positions 29 to 507 of the family's 1533-position model. The record is from RNAcentral.
AGCGAACGCUGGCGGCAGGCCUAACACAUGCAAGUCGAACGAACUCUUCGGAGUUAGUGGCGGACGGGUGAGUAACACGUGGGAACGUGCCUUUUGGUUCGGAAUAACUCAGGGAAACUUGUGCUAAUACCGAAUGUGCCCUUCGGGGGAAAGAUUUAUCGCCAUUAGAGCGGCCCGCGUCUGAUUAGCUAGUUGGUGGGGUAGCAGCUCACCAAGGCGACGAUCAGUAGCUGGUCUGAGAGGAUGACCAGCCACACUGGGACUGAGACACGGCCCAGACUCCUACGGGAGGCAGCAGUGGGGAAUCUUGCGCAAUGGGCGAAAGCCUGACGCAGCCAUGCCGCGUGAAUGAUGAAGGUCCUAGGAUUGUAAAAUUCUUUAACCGGGGACGAUAAUGACGGUACCCGGAGAAGAAGCCCCGGCUAACUUCGUG